CAGAAAACAGCUAACUUCACAGCUGAUGGAGUGGUCAUGGAUGAAGCUAACCAGUGAAAUGCUCCUCAAUUCUGGUAUUGCUCUUCCAAGGAGAUUUGCACCCCUGGGCGGGAGACAGCAUGAAUUUUCUGUAGAGAAAAUUGACAAGAACUUCUCAGCUGUGGAUAAAUAUUUCUACAGUGUUUUCAACACAAUCCUUUUAUAUGAGAUGAAGAGUUCUGGCCUUUGAGAAUAAUGGACAAAGAACCUGCAUUAACAGUUCCUCAUUGUCCAUGUGUCACUCAGAUGACCAAGGCCAAACCCUACUGACCCUGGGCAGGACAGGAGCAUGGUGUGAAGUGAAGAGCAAGAGAAAGUUUCACAGGAUAAGUGAUGUCCAACUGAAGUUUCUCUUUUUAUGCUUUACAGACCUGACAGCUGCAUCUCUUUGAACUGUGGCAAUGCAGAGCAGAGUAAGUUCCUCCAGCUGAGGCUACAGGGACUCUGCUAUGCGGGACUUGAAGAAUGAGGGUGAGAAGCUCUACUUGUUCUCUGCAUUAAGUGGUUGAUUUUGGAGACCUUCUGAAGGAUGUGCAUGAGACUGCAGAAGCAGGCUGGGGCCAGCUUUCUUUGCCUUCAGAAUACGAGGAAGUUAGGACAAAGGAAGUAGGGCUUUUCCAUUUGAUAUUUGUUUAUAUAUUUUGAUUUAAUAAUGGUAACUUUUCAAAAAGCUCUGAUUUUUGUCUUACAAUAUAGACUGUUCCUAGAAUUGCAUGGCAACAAGCAGAAUCCAUUUUAAGGGUAGAUUUUCAUACUUAAAUUUAUUUAUGACAUGAACGUAAUUCUUCAGUUUUAUAAUAAAUCUCGCUAACACAUGAAAGACUGUUUAAGACAAUAAUAUGAGGAGUCGUCCUUUCAGUUCAGAUUCUUUGUGAGAGGGUUAAUGUCUGAGCACAUCGGAGUCACCUCUGUGGAUUAAUCCAGUGGGCUCAGACCAGUCCUACUCAACUCUCCAAAACCAGCGCGAUAAUCAGCAAGUCUCUACACGGAGUUGACGAGUUAAGCAAUCACAAUGACUUGACCAUCAACUUGACCUUUAAGAUCCCUUCAGAAGAGGUUUGAUCCACACUGAUUUACUUUAUCUCUCAGACCGUAAGAUCUGUACUAAAACCCUGAUUGACCAGAAGUCAUUUUUUUUUUUUUAAUGCCUUAUGUUAGCCAAUGGCCCAAUGUGAAAACAGUAAGUGAAAGUGACACCUAACUGAAAUCAAAGGGAGGACUGCUUUCAAUGGAACUAGAAUUUCACCAAGCAAACCCCAUUGACAGUAUUUGGGUCUCACCUACAUCUGAAGAGAUAUGAAUGCUUUUGUGGGCCCCAUCAUAUAACUAUGUAAAAUGUAUCUUGCAAGCUACUCUGAUGUGUUCAUGACACUAAUGUGCAUUUAAAAAUUGUACAUUUUUUAAUAAAAACUACUAUGAUGACAUAAAUUAUUUACUGAGUUAGCGCAAAAUGCUGUGUUGCCUGACAUGAUAAUUAUAUUGUUCUGCCAUUCCAAUGGUAAGGAAAGCCUUUACAAGUAAGUUAUUUUUUUACUGAAAAUCAGCAAAACAACGUAUUUUGGAAAAAUAAAACACUAAAAGAAAAUUAGGUAUUUAUGUUGCUGUCACAGAUGCAAAUAAUAUAGGCAUUGAUAUUAUUCACUGAAGCUUAUCCUCAGCUUUCCAUAACCACUACUGAGUAACUUAUUACAUAGGUUCAUCCCCCACAGUUCCUUCAGAUGGCAUUUCCAUAACAAAAAGUUAUUUUAUGGGGGAGAUAAAUCAACUGCUUUUGUAUCUGCUCCCUUUUUGUCUUUAAGGAUGAUUUUCUACCUAUCUAGUGAUCGAAAUAGGUCUGAUUCUUUCUGUACUGUACUGAUAGA
This is a non-coding RNA of Meleagris gallopavo (turkey), 1901 nucleotides long. The record is from RefSeq and is a predicted model, not a curated record. Lineage: Eukaryota; Metazoa; Chordata; Aves; Galliformes; Phasianidae.